RNAcentral lists this ribosomal RNA (301 nucleotides) under uncultured bacterium. RNAcentral's name for it is "partial 16S ribosomal RNA". It matches the Rfam family "Bacterial small subunit ribosomal RNA", at positions 509 to 807 of the family's 1533-position model. The record is from RNAcentral.
CAGCAGCCACGGGAAUACAGAGGGUGCGAGCGUUAAUCGGAUUUACUGGGCGUAAAGCGUGCGUAGGCGGCUUCUUAAGUCGGAUGUGAAAUCCCUGAGCUUAACUUAGGAAUUGCAUUCGAUACUGGGAAGCUAGAGUAUGGGAGAGGAUGGUAGAACUCCAGGUGUAGCGGUGAAAUGCGUAGAGAUCUGGAGGAAUACCGAUGGCGAAGGCAGCCAUCUGGCCUAAUACUGACGCUGAGGUACGAAAGCAUGGGGAGCAAACAGGAUUAGAUACCCGGGUAGUCCCUGUCUCUUAUAC